CCCAGGAUAAACUAAUUAAGUUGUUGGGCUCAUAACCUGAAUAUGAGGGUUUCCUCUCCUGGGC
This 64-nucleotide transfer RNA is filed under the name Tridacna derasa. Its description in RNAcentral is "tRNA-Met". The record is from RNAcentral. Lineage: Eukaryota; Metazoa; Mollusca; Bivalvia; Cardiida; Cardiidae.